GCCCUCAUUUAAUAUAUUACCAGAGACUUGAGAUUCCAGAUUUAAUCACCGCGAGGAUUUGAGUAUAUCUACCGACCUUGAUCUGAAACAUCAUUUUUCGCAGACAAUCUCACAAAUAAAUCGUAUCGAUAUCGACCGAAGGAAGAGACGUCGUGUAGGAAAUCACAGAAGCAGAGAGGGAGGUAAGAUAAGAGGAGAUGGACAGGCCCAACAAAUCAUAUCCUGGGGGCGGUUACCAAGGCCCCAACCCCGCACCUCAUCAUUAUGGCUCAAUGGAAGGGACGGGGCAGGUUAACAACUCUGAUUGUACAGCAAGCACUAGUCCUGCUCAAAUCAUUCCAAUCGAGGUUGAAGAUGAACUCAAUGAGAACAUCUACAAAAUGUCUCCUCAUGUUCCGAUCUCGCAUGAUGAUACCUUUAAGGAAUCGAGUGCCAUUCAGGGAUUCGCCUUCAUGAAAACAGGUAGCCGAUUAAUCUAUGAAUAC
Strongylocentrotus purpuratus (purple sea urchin) is the source of this 485-nucleotide long non-coding RNA. RefSeq lists it as uncharacterized. NCBI's taxonomy places the organism in Eukaryota, Metazoa, Echinodermata, Echinoidea, Camarodonta, Strongylocentrotidae. The transcript is spliced from 3 exons. The record is from RefSeq and is a predicted model, not a curated record.